UACAGAGGGGGCAAGCGUUGUUCGGAAUUACUGGGCGUAAAGGGCUCGUAGGUGGCCAACUAAGUCAGACGUGAAAUCCCUCAGCUUAACUGGGGAACUGCGUCUGAUACUGGAUGGCUUGAGUUUGGGAGAGGGACGCGGAAUUCCAGGUGUAGCGGUGAAAUGCGUAGAUAUCUGGAGGAAUACCGGUGGCGAAGGCGGCAUCCUGGACCGGCAUUGACGCUGAGGAGCGAAAGCCAGGGGAGCAAACGGG
Molecule: ribosomal RNA, 253 nt
Filed under: uncultured bacterium
Lineage: Bacteria
Description: partial 16S ribosomal RNA
Rfam family: Bacterial small subunit ribosomal RNA
Source: RNAcentral